Papaver somniferum (opium poppy) is the source of this 1164-nucleotide long non-coding RNA. RefSeq lists it as uncharacterized. NCBI's taxonomy places the organism in Eukaryota, Viridiplantae, Streptophyta, Magnoliopsida, Ranunculales, Papaveraceae. The transcript has 2 exons. The record is from RefSeq and is a predicted model, not a curated record.
CACUGCUCAGUCUCUAGAGACCCCACGUGGUUCAUACUCAUCACUUUUAUCAGAAAAUAGAGACGUGGAGUUCUUAAGUUCAUUGGUUUCUCAGAGAGAUAUAAAAAUUCAAAAAAACUAUUUCAAUUUCAUAUCUCUUUCAAUACACACACAGGCAUGGUGAUAAUCCUUUCUCUAUGUAGAUAUGUGGGAAUUUACUUUUAUGUUUGAAAAAAGCUAAGGAUGAGAAUAACAGGGUUCUAAUUGAAGACUUAGAUGGCGUGGAUAAUUUUGAUUCAAAUAAUAAAGAAGUUUUGAGAAGUGUUUAUGCUGACGCUUUAGGGGAUAGAGCUUUAUUAAUGGAUCUUAGUAUUUUAUCUUGGAGUAUUAGAGAAGGUCAGGUGGUAUUUUAACUUUGUGGAAUGGGGUCAAGUCAUUUUUGAAGAUCAAAUUUUAGGUGGUUUUUCACAUACUUUACGAUUAAGAAAUGUAAAUGAUGGCUUUGCUUGGUUAUCACUUCUGUCUAUGGCGCAUCGGAUACAACUGACUAUGGCCAAUUUUGGCAAGAGAUAGUUGAUAUCAGAACUAUUAUGCAUGAGUCGUGUUGCAUUGGAGGUGACUGGAAUGCUAUUUUAACUCAGAUCGAGAGAAAUCGAGCUGAUGGGUGCAUAUGGCGCAUCGGAUACAACUGACUAUGGCCAAUUUUGGCAAGACAUAGUUGAUAUCAGAACUAUUAUGCAUGAGUCGUGGUGCAUUAGAGGUGACUGGAAUGCUAUUUCAACUCAGAUCGAGAGAAAUCGAGCUGAUGGGUGCAAGAAAAAUAGGAAAACUUCAAGCAGUUCCUAAACAUCCAGAAUUUUUUGGAUUUGCCAAUGGCUGGUGGCAAAUUCACUUGGAAAAAUUCGCAAAAUCUACCGUUGUUACAAAGGUCGGAUAAAUUUGUUGUUCAGUAGAUUGAGAAGAUAAAUGCCCAACUCUAGUUCAAACAAGAUUAAAGAGACCAAUCUAUGAUCAUGCCCCAAUUCUACUCAACUGCAAUGGAGGUAUAAUUCUUAAAUCCCCUUUUAGAUUUGAGAAUUAUCUACUGGCUCAUCCCGAUUUCUUAGAUAACAUUAAAAUUUGGUGGAAUAUCUUGGUAUUCUCUGGUAAAUGAAGUUAUAUUUUAGCUAAAAAGUUACAAGGCCU